Molecule: non-coding RNA, 110 nt
Organism: Acanthosepion pharaonis
Lineage: Eukaryota; Metazoa; Mollusca; Cephalopoda; Sepiida; Sepiidae
Source: the annotation of a GenBank genome assembly
AUGGCUAUACCACAUUGAAGUACUGGUUUUCAUAUGAUCACCAAAGUUAAGCAAUGUUGAGCUGGUUAAUACCUAGAUAGGUGACCAUUUGGGAAUACCAGAAACUGUAA